Molecule: non-coding RNA, 111 nt
Filed under: Thermoactinomyces vulgaris
Lineage: Bacteria; Bacillati; Bacillota; Bacilli; Caryophanales; Thermoactinomycetaceae
Description: Azaaromatic sequence
Rfam family: azaaromatic riboswitch aptamer (yjdF RNA)
Source: RNAcentral
UAAAAGGAAUGAAAAAUCACAUAACUGGUUGGUAGUCCAGUUACAUUAGGAGUUGACUCCUAAUGCAGUAUCCUUGCCCCCUCGGGCUCGUCCAUCAUUCCUUUCACAUUC